Molecule: ribosomal RNA, 468 nt
Filed under: uncultured bacterium
Lineage: Bacteria
Description: partial 16S ribosomal RNA
Rfam family: Bacterial small subunit ribosomal RNA
Source: RNAcentral
GACGAACGCUGGCGGCGUGCUUAACACAUGCAAGUCGAACGGAAAGGCCCUGCUUUUGUGGGGUGCUCGAGUGGCGAACGGGUGAGUAACACGUGAGUAACCUGCCCUUGACUUUGGGAUAACUUCAGGAAACUGGGGCUAAUACCGGAUAGGAGCUCCUGCUGCAUGGUGGGGGUUGGAAAGUUUCGGCGGUUGGGGAUGGACUCGCGGCUUAUCAGCUUGUUGGUGGGGUAGUGGCUUACCAAGGCUUUGACGGGUAGCCGGCCUGGGAGGGUGACCGGCCACAAUGGGAAUGAGAAACGGCCCCGACUCCUACGGGGGGGAGGAGGGGGGAAUAUUGCACAAUGGGCGGAAGCCUGAUGCAGCGAAGCCGCGUGGGGGAUGACGGGCUUUGGGUUGUAAACCCCUUUCAGCCGGGAAGAAGGGAGAGUGACGGUAAAUGGUGAAAAAGCCCCGGCUAACUACGUG